This 253-nucleotide ribosomal RNA is filed under the name uncultured bacterium. RNAcentral's name for it is "partial 16S ribosomal RNA". It matches the Rfam family "Bacterial small subunit ribosomal RNA", at positions 524 to 776 of the family's 1533-position model. The record is from RNAcentral.
UACGUAGGGUGCAAGCGUUGUCCGGAAUUAUUGGGCGUAAAGAGCUCGUAGGCGGUCUGUUGCGUCGGCUGUGAAAACCCGGGGCUCAACCCCGGGCCUGCAGCCGAUACGGGCAGACUAGAGUCCGGCAGGGGAGACUGGAAUUCCUGGUGUAGCGGUGAAAUGCGCAGAUAUCAGGAGGAACACCGGUGGCGAAGGCGGGUCUCUGGGCCGAUACUGACGCUGAGGAGCGAAAGCGUGGGGAGCGAACAGG